RNAcentral lists this ribosomal RNA (730 nucleotides) under Escherichia coli. Its description in RNAcentral is "bacterial SSU rRNA". It matches the Rfam family "Bacterial small subunit ribosomal RNA", at positions 86 to 814 of the family's 1533-position model. Lineage: Bacteria; Pseudomonadati; Pseudomonadota; Gammaproteobacteria; Enterobacterales; Enterobacteriaceae. The record is from RNAcentral.
UGCUGACGAGUGGCGGACGGGUGAGUAAUGUCUGGGAAACUGCCUGAUGGAGGGGGAUAACUACUGGAAACGGUAGCUAAUACCGCAUAACGUCGCAAGACCAAAGAGGGGGACCUUCGGGCCUCUUGCCAUCGGAUGUGCCCAGAUGGGAUUAGCUAGUAGGUGGGGUAACGGCUCACCUAGGCGACGAUCCCUAGCUGGUCUGAGAGGAUGACCAGCCACACUGGAACUGAGACACGGUCCAGACUCCUACGGGAGGCAGCAGUGGGGAAUAUUGCACAAUGGGCGCAAGCCUGAUGCAGCCAUGCCGCGUGUAUGAAGAAGGCCUUCGGGUUGUAAAGUACUUUCAGCGGGGAGGAAGGGAGUAAAGUUAAUACCUUUGCUCAUUGACGUUACCCGCAGAAGAAGCACCGGCUAACUCCGUGCCAGCAGCCGCGGUAAUACGGAGGGUGCAAGCGUUAAUCGGAAUUACUGGGCGUAAAGCGCACGCAGGCGGUUUGUUAAGUCAGAUGUGAAAUCCCCGGGCUCAACCUGGGAACUGCAUCUGAUACUGGCAAGCUUGAGUCUCGUAGAGGGGGGUAGAAUUCCAGGUGUAGCGGUGAAAUGCGUAGAGAUCUGGAGGAAUACCGGUGGCGAAGCGGCCCCCUGGACGAAGACUGACGCUCAGGUGCGAAAGCGUGGGGAGCAACAGGAUUAGAUACCCUGGUAGUCCACGCCGUAAACGAUGUCG